GAUGAACGCUGGCGGCGUGCCUAAUACAUGCAAGUCGAGCGGACGGACGAGAAUCUCUCUUCUCUUCUGUUAGGGGCGGACGGGUGAGUCACACGUGGCUAACCUACCUAUAAGACUGGGAUCACUUCGGGAAACCGGAGCCAAUACCGGAUAAUAUUUUGAACCGCAUGGUUCAUCAGUGAUAGACGGUCUUGCUGUCCCUUAUAGAUGGUUCCGCGCUGCAUUGGCUAGUUGGUAAGGUACGGCCUACCAAGGCAACGAUGCAUAGCCGGCCUGAGAGGGUGAUCAGCCACACUGGAACUGAGACACGGUCCAGACUCCUACGGGAGGCAGCAGUAGGGAAUCUUCCGCAAUGGGCGAAAGCCUGACGGAGCAACGCCGCGUGAGUGAAGAAGGUCUUCGGAUCGUAAAACUCUGUUAGUAGGGAAGAACAUAUGUAUGAGAAAAUGUGCACAUCUUGACGGUACCUAAACAGAAAGCCACGGCUAACUACGUG
Molecule: ribosomal RNA, 496 nt
Filed under: uncultured bacterium
Lineage: Bacteria
Description: partial 16S ribosomal RNA
Rfam family: Bacterial small subunit ribosomal RNA
Source: RNAcentral